RNAcentral lists this long non-coding RNA (752 nucleotides) under Sarcophilus harrisii (Tasmanian devil). RNAcentral describes it as "lncRNA (ENSSHAG00000020803.1)". The record is from RNAcentral. Lineage: Eukaryota; Metazoa; Chordata; Mammalia; Dasyuromorphia; Dasyuridae.
CCAGUGGGCAGCCUCUAUGAGGUCACUGGGUCUGUUACCCAACAUUCCCUGUUGCCAUGACAACGGAGCCCAAGCAGCCUGAGCUCCAACCAGGUGGGGACAGCUGCCCAGGACGGGUGAUGUCAGGUCGGGCUUCUGGGAUGUGGCUGCAGGACUCAAAUCCCCACCCAAGGCAUCGAACGAGGGGACUUGGCGCAAUCUGCAGAGGAACCCUGGCCAGUCCUCUUGUGGCACAGAUUGGGGAAGUGAUGUUCUAGGCCCCCCAGGCUGAGAUUGGAGCCAGGCCCUUAAACCCAAGUGAUCAGCAGCUUCAGGAGGCAAAGGAGCUCAAGAAUUCUCUGGCCUAGGGAGGGGCCCUACAGCCAAACACAAGUGGUCCAGGGAAUAAGAGACAGGGAGGGGGAGCAGGGGGAGGGAGAAGGGGGACCAGCAGGAGGGAGAAGGGAGGAACAGAGGGAGGGAAGGGAGGAACAGAGGGAGGGAAGGGGAGGAACAGAGGGAGGGAAGGGGACCAAGAGGAGGGAGAAGGGAGGAACAGAGGGAGGGAAGGGGGGACCAGCAGGAGGGAGAAGGGAGGAACAGAGGGAGGGAGAAGGGAGGAACAGAGGGAGGGAAGGGGGGUAAAGGGGGAAAGAAACCUCUGACCAGCCUAAGCCGAAGCAAAACUCUUCUGCAGACGAAAUCUGUCACCAGAACCCCCCUCCCCGGUGACCUUUAAACUUGCUUCCUCCCCUGCCAGGUUUCUGGGGGCA